GUCAACAGGUUGUUACCUGUAUCAACACUAGAAGGUUCAGUCAACAGGUUGUUACCUGUAUCAACACUAGAAGGUUCGGUCUCAGUCAACAGGUUGUUACCUGUAUCAACACUAGAAGGUUUGGUCUCAGUCAAUAGGUUGUUACCUGUAUCAACACUAGAAGGUUUGGUCUCAGUCAAUAGGUUGUUACCUGUAUCAACACUAGAAGGUUUGGUCUCAGUCAAUAGGUUGUUACCUGUAUCAACACUAGAAGGUUCAGUCAACAGGUUGUUACCUGUAUCAACAUUAGAAGGUUCAGUCAACAGGUUGUUACCUGUAUCAACACUAGAAGGUUUGGUCAAUAGGUUGUUACCUGUAUCAACACUAGAAGGUUUGGUCAAUAGGUUGUUACCUGUAUCAACACUAGAAGGUUUGGUCUCAGUCAACAGGUUGUUACCUGUAUCAACACUAGAAGGUUUGGUCAAUAGGUUGUUACCUGUAUCAACACUAGAAGGUUUGGUCUCAGUCAACAGGUUGUUACCUGUAUCAACACUAGAAGGUUUGGUCUCAGUCAAUAGGUUGUUACCUGUAUCAACACUAGAAGGUUUGGUCUCAGUCAAUAGGUUGUUACCUGUAUCAACACUAGAAGGUUCAGUCAACAGGUUGUUACCUGUAUCAACACUAGAAGGUUCAGUCAACAGGUUGUUACCUGUAUCAACACUAGAAGGUUUGGUCAAUAGGUUGUUACCUGUAUCAACACUAGAAGGUUUGGUCUCAGUCAACAGGUUGUUACCUGUAUCAACACUAGAAGGUUCAGUCAACAGGUUGUUACCUGUAUCAACAUUAGAAGGUUCAGUCAACAGGUUGUUACCUGUAUCAACACUAGAAGGUUUGGUCUCAGUCAAUAGGUUGUUACCUGUAUCAACACUAGAAGGUUCAGUCAACAGGUUGUUACCUGUAUCAACACUAGAAGGUUCAGUCAACAGGUUGUUACCUGUAUCAACACUAGAAGGUUCAGUCAAUAGGUUGUUACCUGUAUCAACACUAGAAGGUUCAGUCAACAGGUUGUUACCUGUAUCAACACUAGAAGGUUCGGUCAACAGGUUGUUACCUGUAUCAACACUAGAAGGUUUGGUCUCAGUCAAUAGGUUGUUACCUGUAUCAACACUAGAAGGUUCAGUCAACAGGUUGUUACCUGUAUCAACACUAGAAGGUUCAGUCAACAGGUUGUUACCUGUAUCAACACUAGAAGGUUCAGUCAACAGGUUGUUACCUGUAUCAACACUAGAAGGUUUGGUCUCAGUCAACAGGUUGUUACCUGUAUCAACACUAGAAGGUUCAGUCAAUAGGUUGUUACCUGUAUCAACACUAGAAGGUUCAGUCAAUAGGUUGUUACCUGUAUCAACACUAGAAGGUUUGGUCUCAGUCAAUAGGUUGUUACCUGUAUCAACACUAGAAGGUUUGGUCUCAGUCAACAGGUUGUUACCUGUAUCAACACUAGAAGGUUCAGUCAACAGGUUGUUACCUGUAUCAACAUUAGAAGGUUCAGUCAACAGGUUGUUACCUGUAUCAACACUAGAAGGUUCAGUCAACAGGUUGUUACCUGUAUCAACACUAGAAGGUUUGGUCUCAGUCAAUAGGUUGUUACCUGUAUCAACACUAGAAGGUUUGGUCUCAGUCAACAGGUUGUUACCUGUAUCAACACUAGAAGGUUCAGUCAACAGGUUGUUACCUGUAUCAACAUUAGAAGGUUCAGUCAACAGGUUGUUACCUGUAUCAACACUAGAAGGUUUGGUCUCAGUCAACAGGUUGUUACCUGUAUCAACACUAGAAGGUUCAGUCAACAGGUUGUUACCUGUAUCAACAUUAGAAGGUUCAGUCAACAGGUUGUUACCUGUAUCAACACUAGAAGGUUCAGUCAACAGGUUGUUACCUGUAUCAACACUAGAAGGUUCAGUCAACAGGUUGUUACCUGUAUCAACACUAGAAGGUUCAGUCAACAGGUUGUUACCUGUAUCAACACUAGAAGGUUCAGUCAACAGGUUGUUACCUGUAUCAACAUUAGAAGGUUCAGUCAACAGGUUGUUACCUGUAUCAACACUAGAAGGUUCAGUCAACAGGUUGUUACCUGUAUCAACACUAGAAGGUUCGGUCAACAGGUUGUUACCUGUAUCAACACUAGAAGGUUUGGUCUCAGUCAACAGGUUGUUACCUGUAUCAACACUAGAAGGUUUGGUCUCAGUCAACAGGUUGUUACCUGUAUCAACACUAGAAGGUUUGGUCUCAGUCAACAGGUUGUUACCUGUAUCAACACUAGAAGGUUCAGUCAACAGGUUGUUACCUGUAUCAACACUAGAAGGUUCAGUCAACAGGUUGUUACCUGUAUCAACACUAGAAGGUUCAGUCAAUAGGUUGUUACCUGUAUCAACACUAGAAGGUUCAGUCAAUAGGUUGUUACCUGUAUCAACACUAGAAGGUUCAGUCAACAGGUUGUUACCUGUAUCAACACUAGAAGGUUUGGUCUCAGUGAAGUGCACCAGGUUACUGGGUCUCAUGAUGGCGAUGCAGCGUGCCGUGAUCACCAGUCGCUGGAACAACUCCGGGUCCAGGUCUCUGCUGUCACGACUACAGCUGUUCAGACACUGCACCGCGUUGCUCAACAGGGACUGGUCCUUGGGGAGAGACAUGUCACGGGAGAGAGAGGUGAGUGGGAGUUACCUUGUGGUUGUGGCUGGCCGUACGGCUGGUGUGUACGGUUAG
Molecule: long non-coding RNA, 2739 nt
Filed under: Oncorhynchus kisutch (coho salmon)
Lineage: Eukaryota; Metazoa; Chordata; Actinopteri; Salmoniformes; Salmonidae
Description: lncRNA (ENSOKIG00005004718.1)
Source: RNAcentral